Molecule: long non-coding RNA, 306 nt
Filed under: Vigna radiata
Lineage: Eukaryota; Viridiplantae; Streptophyta; Magnoliopsida; Fabales; Fabaceae
Description: long non-coding RNA (VRAD_LNC018367)
Source: RNAcentral
UGCAUUAUUAAUUGCUAGGGGAGGCUAGGGAUAGCAAGCCAGUAAUUAGUAAUAGGCUUUUUUCGCCGAGGGAUCGGGUUAAGGGUAGGCCAAGAAAGUUGCAUAACAAUUAGUUAAUCAAGCAAAUAAAUCAAGAGGAGUAAAUAAGAGAGAGCGGAUAACAUGAAAUUGUAAACCCCCAACAACUCCAUUCAUCCAUUGUUUUCUUCUCGUGAAUUGAAUCAAUCUCUUUUGCAUGUUUAUGUUUUGUUCUCAUUACUUGAACGAUUACUUGAACGAUUUGGUAUGCUUGCCAAUCCGUUAACA